RNAcentral lists this ribosomal RNA (484 nucleotides) under uncultured bacterium. RNAcentral's name for it is "partial 16S ribosomal RNA". It matches the Rfam family "Bacterial small subunit ribosomal RNA", at positions 30 to 507 of the family's 1533-position model. The record is from RNAcentral.
AUUGAACGCUGGCGGCAGGCCUAACACAUGCAAGUCGAGCGGACGAAGGGAGCUUGCUCCUGGAUUCAGCGGCGGACGGGUGAGUAAUGAACAGGUAUCUGCCCGAUAGAGGGGGAUAACGUACGGUAAUGGGCGCUAAUACCGCAUCCGACAUGAGGGAGAACGUCAGGGAUCUUCGGAGCACAAGCUAUUAGAUGAGACUAGGUCGGAUUAGCUAGUUGGUGGGGUAAAGGCCUACCAAGGCGACGAUCCGUAACUGGUCUGAGAGGAUGAUCAGUCACACUGGAACUGAGACACGGUCCAGACUCCUACGGGAGGCAGCAGUAGGGAAUAUUACGCAAUGGGCGAAAGCCUGAUGCAGCCAUGCCGCGUGUGUGAAGAAGGUCUUCGGAUUGUAAAGCACUUUAAGUUGGGAGGAAGGAAAGUGAGUUAAUACCUUGCUGUUUUGACGUUACCAACAGAAUAAGCACCGGCUAACUUCGUG